RNAcentral lists this ribosomal RNA (1996 nucleotides) under Myxobolus marumotoi. RNAcentral's name for it is "SSU rRNA". It matches the Rfam family "Eukaryotic small subunit ribosomal RNA". The record is from RNAcentral. Lineage: Eukaryota; Metazoa; Cnidaria; Myxozoa; Bivalvulida; Myxobolidae.
GAUCCAGAUUUUUCUUGAAGAUUAAGCCAUGUAAGUGCCAAGUACAAACGAUUUUAUCGUGAGACUGCGGACGGCUCAGUAUAUCAGUGAUUAUCUGUUUGAUUGUUGAACCCAUUGGAUAACCGUGGGAAAUCUAGAGCUAAUACAUGUAGUUAUUGGAGUGAACCGUUAAACGUCCACGCCAGAGCAUUUAUUAGACUUGACCAACUACCGUAGAGUAACGCCCUAUGGUAAGGUGAAUCUAGAUAACUUUGCUGAUCGUAUGGCCUAGAGCCGGCGACGUUUCAAUUGAAUUUCUGCCCUAUCAACUGGUUGGUAAGGUAUUGGCUUACCAAGGUUGCAACGGGUAACGGGGAAUCAGGGUUCGAUUCCGGAGAGGGAGCCUGAGAAACGGCUACCACAUCCAAGGAAGGCAACAGGCGCGAAAAUUACCCAAUCUAGACAGUAGGAGGUGGUGAAGAGAAUUACUAAGUGAUGGCUAUGCUAUCAGCUUGGAAUGAACGUAAUUUAAGGAAUUCGAUGAGUAACAACUGGAGGGCAAGUCCUGGUGCCAGCAGCCGCGGUAAUUCCAGCUCCAGUAAUCUGGGUUAAAGUUGUUGCGUUUAAAACGCUCGUAGUUGGAUAACGCAGUCAUAAGAGGUAAUCUGUAAGAAUACGUGCGGUCAUGGACAGUUUUGAGGCGAAAGCCGAGAGGCUAGUUUUUGGCUUGUGUUUUUGCAGAUAAUAACGCCUAUCUUGUGACUAUUUGCGCGUGAGUGUGGUAAUUGACCUUUAAUGUGUUGAGUAUCAUGUCUCACGGGGUGUGCCUUGAAUAAAUCAGAGUGCUUAAAACAAGCGAAUGCUUGAAUGUGAUAGCAUGGAACGAACAAACGUGUAUUAGCGCACGUAAAAUUGCGAUGACGGGUUUAUGACUUGUUGUUGUAAUUAGCGUGUGCAGCACCUACCAAAAUACGGAUGUUGGUUUCUGUAUACGGUGACGAUUAAAAGGAGCGGUUGGGGGCAUCGGUAUUUGGCCGCGAGAGGUGAAAUUCUUAGACCGGCCAAGGACUAACAAAUGCGAAGGCACUUGUCUAGACCGUUUCCAUUAAUCAAGAACGAAAGUGGGAGGUUCGAAGACGAUCAGAUACCGUCCUAGUUCCCACUGUAAACUAUGCCGACCUGGGAUCAGUUUGGAGAUGUUACAAGCUCUAGGUUGGUCCCCCUGGGAAACCUGAAGUUUUUCGGUUACGGGGAGAGUAUGGUCGCAAGUCUGAAACUUAAAGGAAUUGACGGAAGGGCACCACCAGGGGUGGAGCCUGCGGCUUAAUUUGACUCAACACGGGGAAACUCACCUGGUCCAGACGUUGAUAGGAUAGACAGACUGAUAGAUCUUUCUUGAUGCAAUGAGUGGUGGUGCAUGGCCGUUCUUAGUUCGUGGAGUGAUCUGUCAGGUUAAUUCCGGUAACGAACGAGACCACAGUCUCCAUUUAAGGUACGGAAGUAGGGUGUUUGGCGCAUGCGCAUCUCGGUGCGGGUGUUGGCUCGACACUUUUUGGCAAGGUUGACGAAUUUGAGGUAGUUUUGCACAAAUGUUUCAGCAAUGGGGCAGUUGUGCAUUGCUGCAUCGGAGGAGUUGAUUCUCCCUUCCGUUGAGCAGUAUUCGGUGCAAACUGAAUGCUGUCUUAUGGAGAGACAACGAGACAUUCAAAAAGCUCGCGGAAGAGUGGCUAUAACAGGAUCUGGGUUGAGAGACUUGGGUAAUCUAAAAUCGUUAUCGUGAUGGGGAUUGACCGUUGUAAUCAUCGGUCAUGAAAGAGGAAUCCCUAGUAUGUACAUUUUAUUAGAAUGUACAGAUUGAGUCCCUGCCCUUUGUACACACCGCCCGUCGCUACUACCGAGUGAAUGGUAUCAUGAUGCCUUGGGACUGGACGUUGGACGAACUUGUUUGUUUAACGCCGGGAUCAGCGUAAAAUGGUGCAAUUUCGAGGAAGUAAAAGUCGUAACAAGGUUUCCGUAG